This 487-nucleotide ribosomal RNA is filed under the name Stalacris sp. n. Swa. Its description in RNAcentral is "partial 16S ribosomal RNA". It matches the Rfam family "Bacterial large subunit ribosomal RNA", at positions 1833 to 2582 of the family's 2925-position model. The record is from RNAcentral. Lineage: Eukaryota; Metazoa; Arthropoda; Insecta; Orthoptera; Phalangopsidae.
CUUCUGGUAUUAGUGUGAAGUCGUGCCUGCCCACUGAUUUUUGAAGGGCCGCGGUAUAUUGACCGUGCAAAGGUAGCAUAAUCAUUAGUCUUUUAAUUGGAGGCUGGAAUGAAUGGUUUGACGAGACGAGAACUGUCUCUUGAGUAUAUAUUGAAUUUUACUUUUAGGUCAAAAGGCUUAAAUAUUAAUUGGGGACGAGAAGACCCUAUAGAUCUUUAUUUUUAAAUUGUUAUUUAUAUUUUGGGAGUUAGAAUAUUUAUAGUGGGUUUAAGAAUUGUGUUGGGGUGACACGUGAAUAUGAUAAACUUCUUGUGGUGUAUACUUUGAUUUGAGGUAAUUUGAUCCUUUAAUAUGGAUGGAAGAUUAAGAUACCUUAGGGAUAACAGCGUUAUUUCAUUAGAGAGUUCUAAUCGAUAGUGAAGAUUGCGACCUCGAUGUUGGAUUAAGAUUUUGACUUGGUGUAGAAGUUAAGUUGGUUAGUCUGUUC